Molecule: ribosomal RNA, 733 nt
Filed under: Amylomyces rouxii
Lineage: Eukaryota; Fungi; Mucoromycota; Mucoromycetes; Mucorales; Mucoraceae
Description: partial large subunit ribosomal RNA
Rfam family: Eukaryotic large subunit ribosomal RNA
Source: RNAcentral
UGCACUAUCAAAUAAGCGGAGGAAAAGAAAAUAACAAUGAUUUCCCCAGUAACGGCGAGUGAAGAGGAAAGAGCUCAAAGUUGGAACCUGUUUGGCUUAGCUAAACCGGAUUGUAAACUGUAGAAACGUUUUCCUGGCACGCCAGAUAAAUAAGUCCUUUGGAACAGGGCAUCAUAGAGGGUGAGAAUCCCGUCUUUGGUCUGAGCUGUUGUCUAUUGCGAUACGUUUUCAAAGAGUCAGGUUGUUUGGGAAUGCAGCCUAAAUUGGGUGGUAAAUCUCACCUAAAGCUAAAUAUUUGCGAGAGACCGAUAGCGAACAAGUACCGUGAGGGAAAGAUGAAAAGAACUUUGAAAAGAGAGUUAAACAGUAUGUGAAAUUGUUAAAAGGGAACCGUUUGGAGCCAGACUGGCUUGAUCGUAAUCAAUCUAGGUUUCGACCUGGAUGCACUUGCGGUCUAUGCCUGCCAACGACAGUUCUUUCUGAAGGAUAAAACUAGGAGGAAUGUGGCCCCUCGGGGUGUUAUAGCCUUCUAGAUAAUACUUUGGAUGGGACUGAGGAACGCAGUGAAUGCUAUUAUGGCGAGAUUUCUAUUCGCUUUUUUCCGAGAAUGGGUGAAUUUCUGCUUCGGGUGGUGCAUUCGUUCUUUGGAGAAAACUCGUGUAGUUAUUUUUCUAUUCACUUAGGUUGUUGGCUUAAUAGACGUCUAAAUGACCCGUCUUGAACCACGGACCAA